RNAcentral lists this ribosomal RNA (382 nucleotides) under uncultured eukaryote. Its description in RNAcentral is "SSU rRNA". It matches the Rfam family "Eukaryotic small subunit ribosomal RNA", at positions 587 to 972 of the family's 1831-position model. The record is from RNAcentral.
AGCACCAAUAGUGUAUAUUAAAGUUGUUGCGGUUAAACAGCUCGUAGUUGGAUUUCUGCUGAGGACGACCGGUCCGCGCUCUGGGUGAGUAUCUGGCUUGGCCUUGGCAUCCUCUUGGAGAACGUAGCUGCACUUGACUGUGUGGUGCGGUAUCCAGGACUUUUACUUUGAGGAAAUUAGAGUGUUUCAAGCAGGCACACGCCUUGACUACACUAGCAUGGAAUAAUAAGAUAUGACCUUGGUUCUAUUUUGUUGGUUUCUAGAGCUGAGGAAUUGAUUAAUAGGGAUAGUUUGGGGCAUUCGUAUUUAAUUGUCAGAGGUGAAAAAUCUUGGGAUUGUUAAAGACGGACUACUGCAAAAGCAUUUGCUAAGGAUGUUUUCA